Molecule: transfer RNA, 75 nt
Filed under: Rosistilla ulvae
Lineage: Bacteria; Pseudomonadati; Planctomycetota; Planctomycetia; Pirellulales; Pirellulaceae
Also listed under: 2 other names
Description: Planctomycetes bacterium EC9 tRNA-Met
Rfam family: tRNA
About the family: Transfer RNA (tRNA) molecules are approximately 80 nucleotides in length. Their secondary structure includes four short double-helical elements and three loops (D, anti-codon, and T loops).
Source: RNAcentral
UGCGGGAUGGAGCAGCCCGGUAGCUCGCGAGGCUCAUAACCUCGAGGUCGUCAGUUCGAAUCUGGCUCCCGCAAC